RNAcentral lists this long non-coding RNA (5588 nucleotides) under Malus domestica (apple). RNAcentral's name for it is "long non-coding RNA (MDOM_LNC013739)". Lineage: Eukaryota; Viridiplantae; Streptophyta; Magnoliopsida; Rosales; Rosaceae. The record is from RNAcentral.
GGCUAUAUGAAUCCUAGAACGCCAUUGCGCUCGGUUUUGUGUCAUGUCCUCCGUUAGAUCCAAGUACUCAAGUCUUUUCUUAGGGUCUCUUCCAAAGUUUUCCUAGGUCUUCCUCUACCCCUUCGGCCCUGAACCUGUCCCGUAGUCACAUUUUCGAACCGGAGCGUCAGUAGGCCUUCUUUGCACAUGUCCAAACCACCGGAACCGAUUUUCUCUCAUAUUUCCUUCAAUUUUGGCUACUCCUACUUUACCUCGGAUAUCCUCAUUCCCAAUCUUAUCCUUUCUCGUGUGCCCAUACAUCCCAUGAAGCAUCCUCAUCUCCGCUACACCCAUUUUGUGUACGUGUUGAUGCUUCACCGCCCAACAUUCUGUGCCAUACAACAUCGCUGACUUUAUUGCCGUCCUAUAAAAUUUUCCCUUGAGCUUCAGUGGCCUACGACGGUCACACAACACGCCGGAUGCACUCUUACACUUCAUCCAUCCAGCUUGUAUUCUAUGGUUGAGAUCUCCAUCUAAUUCUCCGUUCUCUUGCAAGAUAGAUCCUAGGUAGCGAAAACGGUCACUUUUUGUGAUCUUCGCUAGAUUGCUCCGGUCAUUAGUGUGGAUAAGUAUAUAGAUGGAUAGAGAUAGGAAAGCAAACACAAGAUGUACGUGGUUCACCCAAAUUGGCUAUGUCCACGGAAUAAAGGAGUUCUCAUUAAUUGUGAAGGGUUUACACAAGUACAUAGGUUCAAGCUCUCCUUUAGUGAGUACAAGUGAAUGAUUUAGUACAAAUGACAUUAGGAAAUAUUGUGGGAGAAUGAUCUCGUAACCACGAAACUUCUAAGUACCGGAGUGUGGUAUCGUCUUGACUUGCCUUAUCUGUCUCAUAGGUAGAUGUGGCAUCUUCUCUGGAAGUACUCUUCCUCCAUCCAGGGGUGGUAUCUGUAACUGGUGGAGAUGCACAAGGUAAUGUAUCAAUUUCACUUGAAGCUUACUUGUACUUUCAGGCUUGGUUAAGCGCGAUACAAACCAUGUAGUAGGAGUCCCCUAAGUCGCCGAGCUAGGGGAUCUGUUGAAAGAGGUGACAGACAAGGUAAGCAAUCAGAGCUCCGGCUGAUUGUUCACAUUCUCCCUAUCUUGCAAGCAGCAUGAAGGAUAAAGAGAAGAAAAAUGAGAAGAGAUGAUAUGGGAUACUUUUGCUUUUGAAGAAGUAACUUUCCACAGGCUUAUUCUUGAACUGGGCUGGAGGGUUUUCUGGUUUCCUCCAGAGUAUAAGGCCGACUGAAGAAUUUGAGGGUCAAAACAAGUCCAUCAAAUCUAGAGUACGUUCGACCCUGCUGAUAUGGGAUACUUUUGCUUUUGACAGAGUAGUGGAUGUAUCGGCACGUGUGCUGUUACGCUUGUCUCCACAUGCUUCCUUGUAUCCUUCUCACUUGCCCUAUCUGUUCCUCAGGCAGAUGCGGUAUCUUCCCUGGAAGCAUAAGAUGUUGAAGAUGAGUACUCGAGAGCAAUGCCAGGUAAGUAAUCAGGUAAGGGGUUCCAGGCAGUCAGUUUCUGGCUGGAAGCUUGAUUCCAAGUGCUGACUGAUUGCUCUCUUUCUCCUUGUCUUGCAGGUAAGAACAAGGCCAAAGGAAAAGACAGGGAAAAAAGCAUGAUAUGGGAUACUCUUGCUUUUAACCCUGAUGAUAUGAGAUAUUCUUGCUCUAGUAUAGCUUGUUUAUAGAGGUAUUAUCGGGGGGAAAGAAAGCUGAAUAUUUCGAAAGGCUUCGUUGGGAGUGCCCUCUCAGAUAAGAGGAAGGGUUGAGCAUUUUUGCAGGUCUGCCUGUCCGUUGGGGAUGGAGGUCGACAUAUAUAGGAGUCUCCCUAACAUCAAGUAAUAAUGCUAUUCCUUUACCCUGCUUGGUCAUAGCACGGUAGUGGGAGCUGCCAACUUCACAUGUUUUAACUCUGUCAGAGCACUUUGAAAAAAUGGUCUAUGGUAUCUGGAAAGCUGAUGUUGCGUGUGAAGAUUACAGACGAGCUUUAUCCAAGGAGAUCCAGCUUUUGAAGUUGGGAAAGUGGUGCCUCUUCGGUUUUCGAACAAGCAAUCCUGUCGGGGAUCUGGCUCUCAAGAUUCGGAGAACGAUGCCUCUUCGAUUUUUGAGAAAGCAAUCCUGCUGGGGGUCUGGCUCUCGAGAUUCGGGGAGCAGUGUCUCUUCGAUUUUUGAGAAAGCAAUCCUGCUGGGGGUCUGGCUCUCGAGAUUCGGGGAGCGGUGUCUCUUCGAUUUUUGAGAAAGUAAUCAUGUUGGGAGUCUGGCUCUCGAGAUUCGGAGGGCGGUGCCUCUUCGAUUUUGGAGCAAGCAAUCUUGUUGGGAGUGUUUUCUCGAAUGUGAGUAAAGGUUGGGCAUGUUUGCUAGUCUACCUUGUCACGAAGCACAGAGGUUGACACACAGGGACUUUCCAAUUAUCCAGCAGUGGUACUGUUCCUUUACCCUCUCUUCGAUUUUUGAGAAAGUAAUCAUGUUGGGAGUCUGGCUCUCGAGAUUCGGAGGGCGGUGCCUCUUCGAUUUUGGAGCAAGCAAUCUUGUUGGAAGUGUUUUCUCGAAUGUGAGUAAAGGUUGGGCAUGUUUGCUAGUCUACCUUGCCACGAAGCACAGAGGUUGACACACAGGGACUUUCCAAUUAUCCAGCAAUGGUACUGUUCCUUUACCCUCUCUUCGAUUUUUGAGAAAGUAAUCAUGUUGGGAGUCUGGCUCUCGAGAUUCGGAGGGCGGUGCCUCUUCGAUUUUGGAGCAAGCAAUCUUGUUGGGAGUGUUUUCUCGAAUAUGAGUAAAGGUUGGGCAUGUUUGCUAGUCUACCUUGCCAUGAAGCACAGAGGUUGACACACCGGGACUUUCCAAUUAUCCAGCAGUGGUACUGUUCCUUUACCCUUGUGGGUAAUAAUAUGGUAGCUAGACCUUCAAAAUUUAUGUGUCUAAACUUUGUUAGUGUUGUUUCUUUGCUAUUCUUUUACCCUUCUUGGUCAGAGCGAUGUAGUGGGAGCUGCAAGCUUCACGUGUCUCAACUUUGUCAGAGAACUUUGGCAAAGUUAUAUGUGGUACCCAUGAGCUACUGUUGCAUGUGGGAAGUGGGUGAUUGAACAGUACGAUUCAUGUGCUUUCUACUUCGCCAGAAAUCUUCGACAGAAUGCCCAUAAUUUCCGCAAAGCUGAGUGUGCGUGUGACAGGUGCUGACAAGGCUGGAAAAGUAGGUGCCUUUUCAAUUUCUGAGAUCGGCCCUCGUGGUCUCUGAGCAGCCCAGCUUUUGAGAAAGCAAGCCUCUUCGAUUUCUGAGAUCGGCCUUCAUGGUCUUUGAGCAGCCCAGCUUUUGAGAAAGCAAACGCCUCUUCGAUAUCUGAGAUCGACCCUCAUGAUCUCUGGGCAGCCCAGCUUUUGAGAAAGCAAACGCCUCUUCGAUUUCUGAGCAGGCGCCUCUUCGAUUUCUGAAGCUUCGUCGAGUGCAGAUUUUUAUAGGGGCUGACAUUAAGUUCCAAAACACACUUGAAUAUCCACCAGUAGAAACUCCAUUCUUGCACUUCUAAGAUCUUGAUUUGUCCGACCUCUUCUCUCUUCAACACCUUUGAAAAUGUCUGGCCCCUCUGACUGUCGUUUUGACUUGAACCUUGUUGAAGAGGCAGCCCCGCCUUCUCCAGACAACAUAUGGCGCCCAUCCUUCGUCUCCCCUAUUGGUCCUCUUACCGUUGGGGAUUCCGUGAUGAAGAAUGAUAUGACCGCUGCGGUAGUGGCCAGGAACCUUCUCACUCCCAAAGAUAACAGACUACUUUCCAAACGGUCUGAUGAGUUGGCUGUUAAGGAUUCUCUGGCUCUCAGUAUUCAGUGUGCACGUUCUGUGUCUAAUAUGGCCCAACGCCUAUUUGCUCGAACCCGCCAAGUUGAAUCAUUGGCGGCUGAAGUGAUGAGUCUCAAACAGGAGAUUAGAGGGCUCAAGCAUGAGAAUAAACAGUUGCACCGGCUCGCACAUGACUAUGCUACAAACAUGAAGAUGAAGCUUGACCAGAUGAAGGAAUCUGAUGGUCAGGUUUUACUUGAUCAUCAGAGAUUUGGGAGCAGCCUCUCCAUAAAUGGGGGUAAGGCUAGCCGACAUUCACCUCUCCCAGACCAUGCGUAAAGCGGGAGCCUUGUGCACUGGAUACGACCUUUUUUUUUUUUAUCAGAGAUUUGUGGGUUUGUUCCAAAGGCAUUUAUUGCCUUCGUCUUCUGGGGCUGUACCGCGUAAUGAAGCUCCAAAUGAUCAACCUCUGAUGCCUCCUCCUUCUAGGGUUCUGUCCAGUACUGAGGCUCCGAAUAAUCCCCUUCCGGUGCCUUCUCUUUCUGGGGCUCUACCGACUGCUAAGACUUCUCCUAAGCAACCUUUGUGAAGGCUCCCUCUUGUUUGUUUAUUUUGACUCAAGUAUAUGUACAUAUUUGUAACUAUUCGGGGAUAUCAAUAAAUAAGCUUUCCUUCAUUUCAACGUAUUGUGUUAAAUACACCAAAGCCUUCUUCGCUAAGUUCUUUGAAUUUUCUUUUGUUGAAGCUUGUAUGUUGAAGCUUUGUGAGUGGAGCAUGUAGGUUGAGGUAGUGUUCCCUUAAUUUCUCGAGUGAGGAAAACUUCUCGGUUGGAGACUUGGAAAAUCCAAGUCACUGAGUGGGAUCGGCUAUAUGAAUCUUAGAACGCCAUUGUGUUCUGUCCUAUGUCAUGUUCUCCGUUAGAUCCAAGUACUCUAAGUCUUUUCUUAGGGUCUCUUCCAAAGUUUUCCUAGGUCUUCCUCUACCUCUUCGGCCCUGAACCUCUGUCCCAUAGUCGCAUCUUCUAAUCGGAGCGUCAGUAGGCCUUCUUUGCACAUGUCCAAACCACCGUAACCGAUUUUCUCUCAUCUUUCCUUCAAUUUCAGCUACUCCUACUUUACCCCGGAUAUCCUCAUUCCUAAUCUUAUCCUUUCUCGUGUGCCCACACAUCCAACGAAGCAUCCUCAUCUCCGCUACACCCAUUUUGUGUACGUGUUGAUGCUUCACCGCCCAACAUUCUGUGCCAUACAGCAUCGCCGGCCUUAUUGCCGUCCUAUAAAAUUUUCCCUUGAGCUUCAGUGGCAUACGGCGGUCACACAACACGCCGGAUGCACUCUUCCACUUCAUCCAUCCAGCUUGUAUUCUAUAGUUGAGAUCUCCAUCUAAUUCUCCGUUCUUUUGCAAGAUAGAUCCUAGGUAACGAAAACGGUCGCUCUUUGGUAUUUCUUGAUCUCCGAUCCUCGCCCCUAACUCGUUUUGGCCUCCAUUUGCACUGAACUUGCACUCCAUAUAUUCUGUCUUUGAUCGGCUUAGGCGAAGACCUUUAGAUUCCAACACUUCUCUCCAAAGGUUAAGCUUUGCAUUUACCCCUUCCUGAGUUUCAUCUAUCAACACUAUAUCGUCUGCAAAAAGCAUACACCAAGGAAUAUCAUCUUGAAUAUGUCCUGUUAACUCAUCCAUUACCAACGCAAAAAGGUAAGGACUUAAGGAUGAGCCUUGAUGUAAUCCUACAGUUAUGGGAAAGCUUUCGGUUUGUCCUUCAUGAGUUCUUACGGCAGUCUUUGCUCCUUCAUACAUAUCCU